UAUUUAUCUAAUGGAAAUCCCACUAUCCUUAAAUUAGAACAUCUAAAUUUAGUCCGGCGAAGAUUUCCAGAAAAUUACUUCUCAAGAAUUUCAAACCACAGUCGCUACCUAACUGUAUUGUAGAGGAAUUGUUUAAAACCGAUUAACACGUCACACAAGAUGCGCAGCGAAAAGGAAACUUGCUUCUUAUUGUUCAUGAUGGUUUCUGAAACUGUUGAUCUUAUUUUGGACUGGGAUUUUGCAUACGAAAUAGCCCAAAGCACUGAUCCAAAUGUGCAGAGUACUAAAUAUUGGAUCUUAGGAUUUGCCAUUUGGGGGACCUUAUUGUAUUUAACAAUAAUCGUUUUUCUGUGUUGCGAUCUUUGUAAUGGCGACGACGAAGAGCAUCCAUGUAUGGCGUCUCUUUCUCUACUGUCGACCGUCACAGAGGACAUGCCACAAAUCGUCCUCGCUAUCACUGUUGCAAGACAUACGACACAUCUGAUAUCUGUGGUUCAAAUCUUGAAGGCUGUGUACGGAAUAAUUGAGCCUCUUGUAAGAGCAAUAAAAUUAUCAUGCGACAGAAAACACAGUAAGAAAACGUUCCGAAGUCCUACUCAUGAUAACGAAUGUCAGAAAUGUUUUGAUAUGAUCUGCAGUUCCAUUCUGUGCGUCUGCUCUAUUGCUCUCUUUUUUAUGGUUUUGGCAAUUCGAUAAAUUUGAAAUUUUAAUUUCAAUCUGGCCAGAAUCAGUUGAAUUACCGCUGUUUUUGCAUCUCUGGCAUGGUUUGUCUUUUUGCCCUUGUCUUGAUAUUUGUUUAUAAUUGUUUUAACAUUUAAUAAAAAUGUUAGUGUACUGA
Magallana angulata is the source of this 838-nucleotide long non-coding RNA. RefSeq lists it as uncharacterized. The record is from RefSeq and is a predicted model, not a curated record. NCBI's taxonomy places the organism in Eukaryota, Metazoa, Mollusca, Bivalvia, Ostreida, Ostreidae. The transcript is spliced from 2 exons.